UACGUAGGGGGCAAGCGUUGUCCGGAAUCAUUGGGCGUAAAGCGCGUGUAGGCGGUUCGGUAAGGCUGCUGUGAAAGUCCAGGGCUCAACCCUGGGAUGCCGGUGGAUACUGUCGGGCUAGAGUGCGGAAGAGGCGAGUGGAAUUCCCGGUGUAGCGGUGAAAUGCGCAGAUAUCGGGAGGAACACCAAUUGCGAAGGCAGCUCGCUGGGACGUAACUGACGCUGAGACGCGAAAGCGUGGGGAGCAAACAGG
RNAcentral lists this ribosomal RNA (253 nucleotides) under uncultured bacterium. Its description in RNAcentral is "partial 16S ribosomal RNA". It matches the Rfam family "Bacterial small subunit ribosomal RNA", at positions 524 to 776 of the family's 1533-position model. The record is from RNAcentral.